Molecule: ribosomal RNA, 441 nt
Filed under: uncultured bacterium
Lineage: Bacteria
Description: partial 16S ribosomal RNA
Rfam family: Bacterial small subunit ribosomal RNA
Source: RNAcentral
CCUACGGGAGGCAGCAGUGGGGAAUAUUGCACAAUGGGGGAAACCCUGAUGCAGCGACGCCGCGUGAGUGAAGAAGUAUUUCGGUAUGUAAAGCUCUAUCAGCAGGGAAGAAGAAAGACGGUACCUGACUAAGAAGCCCCGGCUAACUACGUGCCAGCAGCAGCGGUAAUACGUAGGGGGCAAGUGUUAUCCGGAUUUACUGGGUGUAAAGGGGGCGCAGACGGCGAUGCAAGAUAGGAGUGAAAGCCCGGGGCCCAACCCCGGGACUGCUCUUGGAACUGCGUGGCGGGAGUGCAGGAGGGGCAGGCGGAAUGCCUGGUGUAGCGGUGAAAUGCGUAGAGAUCAGGAGGAACACCGGUGGCGAAGGCGGCCUGCUGGACUGCAACUGACGUUGAGGCCCGAAAGCGUGGGGAGCAAACAGGAUUAGAUACCCGAGUAGUC